Pipistrellus kuhlii (Kuhl's pipistrelle) is the source of this 306-nucleotide long non-coding RNA. RefSeq lists it as uncharacterized. NCBI's taxonomy places the organism in Eukaryota, Metazoa, Chordata, Mammalia, Chiroptera, Vespertilionidae. The record is from RefSeq and is a predicted model, not a curated record. The transcript is spliced from 3 exons.
AUUUGAAAGCAGCUAAGAGCUCAUCAACAGAUGAGUGGAUAAAAAAGCUGUGGUGCAUUUACAUAAAGGAAUACUACUCGGCCGUAAAAAAGAAGCAAGUCUUACCUUUCAAGACAGCAUGGCUAGACCUAGAGAGUGUUAUUGCUAAGUGAAAUAAGGCAGUCAGAGAAAGACAAAUACCUCAUGAUUUUACUUAUAUGUGGAAUCUAAAGAACAAAAUAAACAAACAAACAAUAAAAACAGUCUCAUAGCUACAGAGAACAGACUGACAGCUGGCACAGGGAAGGGGGGUUGUGGGGCUGGGUG